RNAcentral lists this ribosomal RNA (323 nucleotides) under Strongyloides ophidiae. RNAcentral's name for it is "SSU rRNA". It matches the Rfam family "Eukaryotic small subunit ribosomal RNA", at positions 73 to 426 of the family's 1831-position model. The record is from RNAcentral. Lineage: Eukaryota; Metazoa; Nematoda; Chromadorea; Rhabditida; Strongyloididae.
UUUUAAACAUGAAACCGCGGAAAGCUCAUUAUAACAGCUAUAGACUACACGGUAAAUAUUUUAGUUGGAUAACUGAGGUAAUUCUUGAGCUAAUACACGCUACCUAUACCACAUUAGUGGUGCGUUUAUUUGAUUAAACCAUUUGUCUGGUUGACUCAAAAUAUCCUCGCUGAUUUUGUUACUAAAACAUACCGUAUGUGUAUCUGGUUUAUCAACUUUCGAUGGUAGGGUAUUGGCCUACCAUGGUUGUGACGGAUAACGGAGAAUUAGGGUUCGACUCCGGAGAGGGAGCCUGAGAAACGGCUACCACAUCCAAGGAAGGC